Molecule: non-coding RNA, 864 nt
Organism: Benincasa hispida (wax gourd)
Lineage: Eukaryota; Viridiplantae; Streptophyta; Magnoliopsida; Cucurbitales; Cucurbitaceae
Source: RefSeq, a predicted model, not a curated record
AUUUGAAAACCCGAGUGUUGGUUGCCCACAACAACUAUUGAUGUGAUCUCAAAUAGGCUCAUUUUUUGGAUUUGAUUCUACUUGCAAGAUAUAUUCAGAAAUGAUUGGUAAUGUGAUGGUUGAUGCCGAUCUACAGGAAAAUAUUACCACUUGUACAUAUAUCCACGUUGGACGGCUUAUGGGUCAUGCUGCUUCUCACAUCACACUGGAGUGUGCGUUGCAAACUCAUCCAAAUAUUACUAUUAUUGGAGAAAAGGUAGCUGCUUUAUUUAAACUACUUAAGAUAGAAACCUUUGUCAAGGAGGACAUAUAUCUCCACAUGCUUUACUAGAUAGAAAUCUUUGUCAAGAAGGGCAUUUACCUCCACAUGCAAUCCUAGGGUUGUUUAUUCUCUUUGAGGACUAGAUUUUGUCUCAGUAAUAACUAAUAAUCUCUGCAACAGAUACUCUCAUGUAACCAUGAAAAUUGAAAUUGUUGAGUCAGUUAAUAUAUCCUAUUUCAGUAUUUCAUCUUGCAUUUCUACAUGGAAUGGUAAAUAUCAAACAAAAAUUAAGGGUAAAGAUGAAAAUUUGUGAUAAAUAAAGGAUUCAUGGAAUUAGGUUGAAACUUUUAAUAUGGUGCAAUAGAACUAAGUAUUACAUCCCAUAUCAUAUUCAAUUGCCUUAAGUGAUAUCGGAUGCCUCUUUUUGAUAGCUUUGAAAAAUUUGUUCUCUACCACCUAGUUGUAGUUGACUCAUGGAGAUUUAUUGGUUUUGAAUGUAUGCAAGCGAAAAAAUUUUCAGACAAAAAAUAAUGUGUUUUAAAUGUUGACUCAUUUAUUAAUAGAGUUUUAGUUUAUAGGAUACAUCGAAUUUACAAUGUGUU